Molecule: unclassified non-coding RNA, 343 nt
Filed under: Hevea brasiliensis (rubber tree)
Lineage: Eukaryota; Viridiplantae; Streptophyta; Magnoliopsida; Malpighiales; Euphorbiaceae
Source: RNAcentral
UUGACUGAAAUUUAAAACCACAGCUACAUAGGGAUACCCACAAUUCAACUUGAAGUCUCCUUCACAAUAGACACCAAAAGCUUCAAGAAUCACUGCUAAAAUAGCAGUAAAUGCUUUUAUGAUCAUAUAUUGGACAAUUCCAAAUUUGAUAACUUGGAAGACCCACUGACCAAGUUUCCAUGGCUUUAAAAAAUAAUUCAUAGGAAAAAGAUGUUUGACAACUCCCUUCUCAGAGUCAUGCUCUAGUAGUGGCAUCUUUGAAGCUGCACGUCCUUCCCUCUCCAUAAAUAGUAUAGCCCGCUCCUCCCCACCUAAGCAAGCAAUAAGAUACCUCCCAAAGCAG